GACGAACGCUGGCGGCGUGCUUAACACAUGCAAGUCGAACGGAAAGACCCUGCUUUUGUGGGGUGCUCGAGUGGCGAACGGGUGAGUAACACGUGAGUAACCUGCCCUUGACUUUGGGAUAACUUCAGGAAACUGGGGCUAAUACCGGAUAGGAGCUCCUGCUGCAUGGUGGGGGUUGGAAAGUUUCGGCGGUUUGGGAUGGACUCGCGGCUUAUCAGCUUGUUGGUGGGGUAGUGGCUUACCAAGGCUUUGACGGGUAGCCGGCCUGAGAGGGUGACCGGCCACAAUGGGACUGCGGUACGGCCCAGACUCCUACGGGAGGCAGCAGUGGGGAAUAUUGCACAAUGGGCGGAAGCCUGAUGCAGCAACGCCGCGUGCGGGAUGACGGCCUUCGGGUUGUAAACCGCUUUCGCCUGUGACGAAGCGUGAGUGACGGUAAUGGGUAAAGAAGCACCGGCUAACUACGUG
Molecule: ribosomal RNA, 468 nt
Filed under: uncultured bacterium
Lineage: Bacteria
Description: partial 16S ribosomal RNA
Rfam family: Bacterial small subunit ribosomal RNA
Source: RNAcentral